This 623-nucleotide ribosomal RNA is filed under the name Diatrypella atlantica. Its description in RNAcentral is "eukaryotic LSU rRNA". It matches the Rfam family "Eukaryotic large subunit ribosomal RNA", at positions 23 to 667 of the family's 3401-position model. The record is from RNAcentral. Lineage: Eukaryota; Fungi; Ascomycota; Sordariomycetes; Xylariales; Diatrypaceae.
ACCCGCUGAACUUAAGCAUAUCAAUAAGCGGAGGAAAAGAAACCAACAGGGAUUGCCCUAGUAACGGCGAGUGAAGCGGCAACAGCUCAAAUUUGAAAUCUGGCCCUCGGGUCCGAGUUGUAAUUUGUAGAGGAUGCUUUUGGUGCAGUGCCUUCCGAGUUCCUUGGAACAGGACGCCUUAGAGGGUGAGAGCCCCGUACGGUUGGACACUAAGCCUCUGUAAAGCUCCUUCGACGAGUCGAGUAGUUUGGGAAUGCUGCUCUAAAUGGGAGGUAAAUUUCUUCUAAAGCUAAAUACCGGCCAGAGACCGAUAGCGCACAAGUAGAGUGAUCGAAAGAUGAAAAGUACUUUGAAAAGAGGGUUAAAUAGCACGUGAAAUUGUUGAAAGGGAAGCGUUUAUGACCAGACCUUUGUCUAGCGGAUCAUCCGGUGUUCUUCACCGGUGCACUUCGCUAGGCUCAGGCCAGCAUCGGUUUCUGUAGGGGGAUAAAGGCCAUGGGAACGUAGCUCUCUCCGGGGAGUGUUAUAGCCCUAGGUGUAAUACCUUUACGGGGACCGAGGUUCGCGCUUCUGCAAGGAUGCUGGCGUAAUGGUCAUCAACGACCCGUCUUGAAACACGGACC